This 1371-nucleotide ribosomal RNA is filed under the name uncultured bacterium. RNAcentral describes it as "bacterial SSU rRNA". It matches the Rfam family "Bacterial small subunit ribosomal RNA", at positions 28 to 1381 of the family's 1533-position model. The record is from RNAcentral.
GAUGAACGCUGGCGGCGUGCCUAAUACAUGCAAGUCGAGCGAACGGACGAGAAGCUUGCUUCUCUGAUGUUAGCGGCGGACGGGUGAGUAACACGUGGAUAACCUACCUAUAAGACUGGGAUAACUUCGGGAAACCGGAGCUAAUACCGGAUAAUAUUUUGAACCGCAUGGUUCAAAAGUGAAAGACGGUCUUGCUGUCACUUAUAGAUGGAUCCGCGCUGCAUUAGCUAGUUGGUAAGGUAACGGCUUACCAAGGCAACGAUGCAUAGCCGACCUGAGAGGGUGAUCGGCCACACUGGAACUGAGACACGGUCCAGACUCCUACGGGAGGCAGCAGUAGGGAAUCUUCCGCAAUGGGCGAAAGCCUGACGGAGCAACGCCGCGUGAGUGAUGAAGGUCUUCGGAUCGUAAAACUCUGUUAUUAGGGAAGAACAUAUGUGUAAGUAACUGUGCACAUCUUGACGGUACCUAAUCAGAAAGCCACGGCUAACUACGUGCCAGCAGCCGCGGUAAUACGUAAGUGGCAAGCGUUAUCCGGAAUUAUUGGGCGUAAAGCGCGCGUAGGCGGUUUUUUAGUCUGAUGUGAAAGCCCACGGCUCAACCGUGGAGGGUCAUUGGAAACUGGAAAACUUGAGUGCAGAAGAGGAAAGUGGAAUUCCAUGUGUAGCGGUGAAAUGCGCAGAGAUAUGGAGGAACACCAGUGGCGAAGGCGACUUUCUGGUCUGUAACUGACGCUGAUGUGCGAAAGCGUGGGGAUCAAACAGGAUUAGAUACCCUGGUAGUCCACGCCGUAAACGAUGAGUGCUAAGUGUUAGGGGGUUUCCGCCCCUUAGUGCUGCAGCUAACGCAUUAAGCACUCCGCCUGGGGAGUACGACCGCAAGGUUGAAACUCAAAGGAAUUGACGGGGACCCGCACAAGCGGUGGAGCAUGUGGUUUAAUUCGAAGCAACGCGAAGAACCUUACCAAAUCUUGACAUCCUUUGACAACUCUAGAGAUAGAGCCUUCCCCUUCGGGGGACAAAGUGACAGGUGGUGCAUGGUUGUCGUCAGCUCGUGUCGUGAGAUGUUGGGUUAAGUCCCGCAACGAGCGCAACCCUUAAGCUUAGUUGCCAUCAUUAAGUUGGGCACUCUAAGUUGACUGCCGGUGACAAACCGGAGGAAGGUGGGGAUGACGUCAAAUCAUCAUGCCCCUUAUGAUUUGGGCUACACACGUGCUACAAUGGACAAUACAAAGGGCAGCGAAACCGCGAGGUCAAGCAAAUCCCAUAAAGUUGUUCUCAGUUCGGAUUGUAGUCUGCAACUCGACUACAUGAAGCUGGAAUCGCUAGUAAUCGUAGAUCAGCAUGCUACGGUGAAUACGUUCCCGGGUCU